GCACCUUAGUGAGAUUGAGUUGGGUCACUUCGAGUUGCUGCCGUCUUUAGCUUCAGGAGUCGGAGGUUUAUUUUUGUACCAGAUUUAAAGCCCUCCAUUUGGAGCAGGUUCUUAUUUAUCGCUUUAUUUAUUUAUUUCCCACAUCGCUUUUAUUUUAUUUAUUUCCCGCAUCGCUUUUAUUUUAUUUAUUUUCCCGCACUCGCUUUAUUUUAUUUAUUUCCCGCACUCGUUUUACAUUAUUUAUUUUCCGCACUCG
RNAcentral lists this long non-coding RNA (256 nucleotides) under Lathyrus oleraceus (garden pea). RNAcentral describes it as "Pisum sativum (pea) long non-coding RNA (PSAT_LNC021205)". Lineage: Eukaryota; Viridiplantae; Streptophyta; Magnoliopsida; Fabales; Fabaceae. The record is from RNAcentral.